CUAACUCUCUCCCACAACUUGACA
Molecule: non-coding RNA, 24 nt
Filed under: Arabidopsis thaliana (thale cress)
Lineage: Eukaryota; Viridiplantae; Streptophyta; Magnoliopsida; Brassicales; Brassicaceae
Source: RNAcentral